RNAcentral lists this ribosomal RNA (917 nucleotides) under uncultured bacterium. RNAcentral's name for it is "bacterial SSU rRNA". It matches the Rfam family "Bacterial small subunit ribosomal RNA", at positions 8 to 915 of the family's 1533-position model. The record is from RNAcentral.
AGAGUUUGAUCCUGGCUCAGAUUGAACGCUGGCGGCAGGCUUAACACAUGCAAGUCGAACGGUAGCAGGAGGAAGCUUGCUUUCUUGCUGACGAGUGGCGGACGGGUGAGUAAUGCUUGGGAAUCUGGCUUAUGGAGGGGGAUAACUACUGGAAACGGUAGCUAAUACCGCGUAAUAUCGAGAGAUUAAAGGGUGGGACUUUCGGGCCACCUGCCAUAAGAUGAGCCCAAGUGGGAUUAGGUAGUUGGUGGGGUAAAGGCCUACCAAGCCUGCGAUCUCUAGCUGGUCUGAGAGGAUGGCCAGCCACACUGGAACUGAGACACGGUCCAGACUCCUACGGGAGGCAGCAGUGGGGAAUAUUGCACAAUGGGGGGAACCCUGAUGCAGCCAUGCCGCGUGAAUGAAGAAGGCCUUCGGGUUGUAAAGUUCUUUCGGUGAUGAGGAAGGUGUUUUGUUUAAUAGACAAGGCAAUUGACGUUAGUCACAGAAGAAGCACCGGCUAACUCCGUGCCAGCAGCCGCGGUAAUACGGAGGGUGCGAGCGUUAAUCGGAAUAACUGGGCGUAAAGGGCACGCAGGCGGAUUGUUAAGUGAGAUGUGAAAGCCCCGAGCUUAACUUGGGAAUUGCAUUUCAGACUGGCAGUCUAGAGUAUUUUAGGGAGGGGUAGAAUUCCACGUGUAGCGGUGAAAUGCGUAGAGAUGUGGAGGAAUACCGAAGGCGAAGGCAGCCCCUUGGGAAUAUACUGACGCUCAUGUGCGAAAGCGUGGGGAGCAAACAGGAUUAGAUACCCUGGUAGUCCACGCUGUAAACGAUGUUGAUUUGGGGAUUGGGCUUUAAGCUUGGUGCCCGUAGCUAACGUGAUAAAUCAACCGCCUGGGGGAGUACGGCCGCAAGGUUAAAACUCAAAGGAAUUGACG